AAAAAUGGGGGAAGAGACGAAUCUGUUACUGGAAUGGGGCGAUGCAGAUCUUAAAAUAUAUAAGACUUUUACUGUCGUGGUAUUCACGAUGCAAAUUUCUGCAUGUUAUCGUCGUGAUAAACACGUCGCAUCCAAUAAAUUUGUUGGACAUUGCAACGCAAUUAUCAUGACACAAAUAAAUUGUAUAAGUCAAGUUUACUUUCCCCAACAACUCUUUCCAAAAUAAUUUUUAAAAUUAUAAAAUUUCAGUAGCGAUGUGAAUCACGACACUACACAUUUUUC
RNAcentral lists this long non-coding RNA (282 nucleotides) under Lathyrus oleraceus (garden pea). Its description in RNAcentral is "Pisum sativum (pea) long non-coding RNA (PSAT_LNC034755)". Lineage: Eukaryota; Viridiplantae; Streptophyta; Magnoliopsida; Fabales; Fabaceae. The record is from RNAcentral.